RNAcentral lists this ribosomal RNA (493 nucleotides) under uncultured bacterium. RNAcentral's name for it is "bacterial SSU rRNA". It matches the Rfam family "Bacterial small subunit ribosomal RNA", at positions 791 to 1288 of the family's 1533-position model. The record is from RNAcentral.
UAGUCCACGCCGUAAACGAUGAAUGCUAGCUGCUGGGUUAAUUACCGACUCAGUGGCGUCGCUAACGCAUUAAGCAUUCCACCUGGGGAGUACGAUCGCAAGAUUGAAACUCAAAGGAAUUGACGGGGGCCCGCACAAGCGGUGGAGCAUGUGGUUUAAUUCGAUGAUACGCGAGGAACCUUACCAGGGCUUAAAUGUAGUGGGACAGGUCUAGAGAUAGACCCUUCUUCGGACUCAUUACAAGGUGCUGCAUGGUUGUCGUCAGCUCGUGCCGUGAGGUGUCAGGUUAAGUCCUAUAACGAGCGCAACCCUUGUCGUUAGUUGCCAGCAAGUAAAGUUGGGGACUCUAGCGAGACUGCCGGUGCAAACCGAGAGGAAGGUGGGGAUGACGUCAAAUCAUCACGGCCCUUACGUCCUGGGCUACACACGUGCUACAAUGGUAUGGACAAUGAGCAGCCACUACGCGAGUAGGAGCGAAUCUACAACCAUAUCA